CCGUAUUCUGAAGUCGGGUUUAAUUUAAACUCUGGUUUUAAGUUGUGGUUUAACUAUGGAAGGCCAGUUGUUACAUAAAUCUCUAACAGUAGAGGUUCAAUGUAUCUGCUCAUUUGACUCCCAAAACAUUAUUAACUGCCUGGGAAGGAUAAGUAUGACAAUUGUGUUCAUCAUGAUUAGUGAAGAGCACAAUUAACAUGAGAUGCAUUCACUGGAAACAAAAUUUUGAAACGUUUGGCUUCCCAUAAUUUUAGCACAGAGUUAGACCAUGGUUUAAGUUAAACCCGACUUUAGAAUACGGGCCUAUAGGGUUUUACAUGUACAAGCCUAUUAUAAAAUCUAACCCUAUGCCCUCUGAGAUAUGAAGACCGGAACAAAUGUCGUUGGAGCAAAUGUUGUGCCUCCCAGUGUACAGUGCACUUGUAUACUUGCACAAACACGUACAUGUACAUACGACAUCUCUGUAGAAAGAGUUGCAUUUAAUAACGCAAUAAGAGAAUCAAACGCAAGUGCAAAAGUGCGCCUCGGAUUGGUCGAAAAUAAAGCUGUGUUUGAUUAUCACUCUUUCUUCAAUGCUGCCGUACUUUGGCAAAAGGAAGCAAGUUUAAAAGUAUCAUUUGUUGUAAAUGAGCAAUGUGUGUUCAUCAUUAACAUAGUCGUCAGUGCAGUUUAACAGCAUAUUUUCUUCAAUAUCCGUAGAACGAUCAUUUCUUCCCCAAAUUUUGCCUGAACGUGCAACAUACAAAGGGUGUUUCAGAAACAACAAUAACUCAAAUAUCACUGAUGUGUCACUUGCUUCCUUUUGCCAAAGUUGGGCAGAAUGUGCCCCUAAUGUCUCUAAAUUUGUGUAUUCCCCCUAUUUCCUGUUAAAGGGAUCCAGUAUCCAUAGAAAAUACAUGUAAAAAUUCUUCCUUAUUUUUUUUGUAUCAUGUACAAUUGAAUUUGUACCACGUACAAUUGAUUUGUACAAAUUUAUUCAAUGCGAUACAACUGAAAUUGCUGUAUUCCGCUGUAUUUUCUUUUUGUAUUGCAACUUUGAAUUUUACACAAUACAUGUAGAUGUAAUUGAUAGGCUGAAAGUUGCUGAAUAAAAUAAAGAUUCUCUAUAUACAUGUAUAUACAACUCUACAAGUAAAACCUUGUUAAUGGCUUUAUGGGCUGAAGAUUGCUGAAAAAAUAGCUUUUGACAGUGCCUGCACUGUACACUGCAAUGUACUGGGUAUGAGGGGCCUACAUGUUACUCUGAAGUUACCACGUCGGAGUGACUGGCUUAAAUUAGAAAACAUCUUUUUUUUUUUCAAUGUACGUGUACUUUAGCUUAGAGGGCGUUUGAAGAUAAACAACUUGCCAUUUAAUUUGAUAAUAUUGCCUAUUUUCUCGGCUGUACUACUGUACGUACACUAAUGCAGGGGCGUAUUCAGGAUUUUGGCAGAGAGGGGCGCAUGAAGGUAAUUCGGAAAUGGAGGGGGCGCAGGUGACAGUUCCUUAGAUUUAGCAACAUUAUGGGCAAUUUUCAAAAUUAAGAGGGGGCGUCACCCCUCCUGCCUGGAACCCCCACUCGGAACUGUACAGUAGUGAGUAUCGUAGUACUAUAGAAUGUAUAUUGGAUGCUUUAAAUGUAAAUAUGAACAUGCUAUUAUUAUCCUUAUAUCGUGUAGCUUGUUUGAAUACUUCUCUUUUUAUGAUACACUGUAUAUGCAUGCUGUGAGCUUUAAUGUGUCGCAAAAUGGUUCACAAUGUAAUAAUAUGGUGACCAUAUAAAUGUAUUUACAAACUACAGUAUGUACAACGUUAAUGAUGUAUAUAAUUCCAUAUGGGUGCAUAUACCAAUACAUAUUUGCUUUUAACAAAACCCUCUUCUAUUAUUUUCUUUGAAUAAGAUAUUCAGUUAUGGUAUAUUUGCCACUUGCCGAACAUAAGGACAACUCAAAAACAAAAACAGUCUUGAUUAUAAAAUGUUGGAAUAACUGCUUUUUCAUUCAACUUUUUGUUAAUGGGGAGUUGCAGGAAAAUAUUUGCAAUUUAAUCGCAAAUUUCGGUUGCAAUUGAUAGAUCAAUUUUAGCUAUAGAUAGCAAAUUUUAGUAAUACACUCCACUGCACAAAGCAGCUUCUGGUUAACAGUCAAUUGCAAAUUGCCAUCAAUUACAAAACACGAUCUAUUAGGCAACUCCAAAUAGAUUUGCAAAUGAUUGCAAAUUUCUUGCAAUGCCGCCCGAAGAAGAUGUCUGCACUAUUAAAAGUAUGCCUAAUUUAAUAGAGCAAAUACAUAUCCUGCCUUGUCCAGCUUGACUGCCAUGUAGCCUAGUACAUUGUACAUGACAUGCAUGGAUGGUACAAAGUAAUUGUUGUCCACUUACAUGUAAGCGGACCAUUCUUACAACUGAAAAGCUACAUGUGUAUACAAAUAUAGCCACGAUGUUAGCUGCCUAGUCUGCAGACACAGACCUUUUUUUCACAAUAUCGCUUUAAUAGUGCAUAAAUGUAGAGUCUGAAGUAGUGAGACUAGGUUCACCAUGUACUGUUGCUGCCUGUACCAAAUGUUAUGUGAUUCAGACAGGGAGUUUGGAGUCUGGUCUUCGCUCAAGACGUGGUGUAUAUGGUUAAAGUCUCAAACUUGAGUCUGUGCGUGCAGACUAGGUGUACAUGUACAUGCAUGCCUGCAUCACUUGUGUAUGUGAUCUCGAGUCCACGGAUGAUGGAAUACAAAGAGCGUGGGCUGUUCCGGAGGGAGGAUGAAUGGUAGAUCCCUUUUACCUGGAAUGUUUAGGAUGAAGGGCAAGGUCAUGUGGCAUGACCUGGUAAAUAUCAACCACCGGGAGGAUGAAAAAUGAUAUUUUGCAUAAAAUGACAAACCUUUUUUUUUUCAUGGCUUGUACAUGUCGCCUACAUCAUGCUUUGCAUUUUUGUCAAUACAGUAUCAAUCAGAGAGGUACAUGUAUACCAUUCGUGUCCUUGAAUAUUGUAUUUAGUCUGAGUAAUUUUUAUAUAUAUUUUUUUUCAUAAUGCCUUCCAUUAUUUCAAUGACUUGUAUAAUUCAUGUUUUCCAUACUACAUCAACCAGGGGGAAGGGGGGGGGGGUACAAAUACCUUGGAUGUUGUGGUGUUGAACCGGAUAUGAUGUACCAUUGCAUUUCAGGGAUUCAUAAACUUUAUAAUUUAUGUUUUCUAUAUCAGAUAGAAGGGCACACAUUGGGAUGGUCAUGAGGAGGUAGAAUAAUGACUAUUUUCAUAAUUCUGAAUAACAUUUUUUAUGAAUUCAUGUUUUGCGUAAUCCAGUGCACAUGAUCUAGGGGAGUGUGGAAUGCCAUAUUGUAACAAUGUUACUAACAUUGUAAGAUAAAGUAGGCCUAUUGAUUAAAUUAGCCUGGGUCUUCAUGUAUGUUGUCUAGGCCUACUUGUACAUGUAGAAUGUUGGUAUACAGUACAUUUUGUAGUAAUAACAGGAUGACUAAUAUGGUGUUUUUUAAUAAUUUUGUUAACAGUUUUUCUAAUUACAUGUAGACCUACAUUAACAUUAAAACCUUUGAUGAAUGUAUCAAUUUUAAAUCAAACAUCAAACAAGGAUAUAUUGUAGCUUGACAGUUUGGCAACAUACUGUAAGUUGUUGGGCGUUUUUUGAAUAAGGGACUCGAGUAGAAAUUGACUUUCAAUUGCAAUGUACAGUGCAUCAGCCGUAAUUUUAACUAUAUUUUAGAUUUUUUUUUCUUUUUAGCUAUUGUACUGGCUCAUACUGCUUUAAUACAAGUGAUAGCACUGAGGCUGUUUAUAUUCUUGCCCCCCCCCCCCCUAUUUGCAUUUUUGAGAAAUAACAAAAGUUGUUGUUUUUUUUUUUUGCUGUUAUUUUUUUUUAGAGAACCUCAUGCAUUUGAUGUCAAAGCGCUUUGAUGUUUAACGUGGAAUAACGUUCUAGAAAACACUGAAAUGUCAGAAAGUUCAUUUUGUUUGCUAAAUUGUAGUACUUCACAUUUUUGUUUCCUAAAUCAUCAUACUUCACAUAUUUGUUUGCUAAACCUAUGAUACUUCACAUAUUUGUUUGCUAAACCUAUAAUACUUCACGUAUUUGUUUGCUAAAUCAUAAUACUUCACAUUUUUGUUUGUUUUUCAAAGAUUCGGGGCAAAGGGGCUGUAAGAUAAGGAGAUUCACUUUAUAUUUACAGAAAGCAAUGAUUGAUUGUAUUUUUUUAAGAUGUAUGGUUUUCAAUAUAAUUCCAUGUACAUGUAAGGGCCACCGCACACCUUACGACUGUUCGCGAUCCGAUUUUGGGACAAAUUGCAUUUUGCUCAUUUUCUGAAAAUGUGAAUGGAACAUAUCAUUUUAUUUGAGGUCAAAAUUAAUUGAAAGAAUACUAAUGUAACCAUUUUGAAAGAUCGCAAGCCUUUAUUUUGGAAUAAAGGCCAAAUUAGGUUCAAAUCGUAGUCUAUCGUACGACUGAUAUGACGUCAUUACGACUAGAUAUAAAAUUCGCUUUUAUUCUAAGCAGGAUGAUAGCAUAGUCACAGAUUUGAACAUAGGUAUUCGUACGAUGAUUUAGAACAUUACACAGUAAGAUAUUUCAAGUCUCAAUAUUAGUAUCAAAUUCUACUACGUUAUAUUCUGAAAUCGGGUCGCAGACCAAUCGUAAGGUGUGCGGUCGCCUUAAGCUUUACUUUACAAUUAAUUGCAUAAUGUCAUAUGACACCCCGCCAUCGGUAUCAAAUUGUAAAAUGAAAAUUUCGUAUUUUCAUACUUUGCCUCUUUUUUAUUUGGGAAGCUAAAUUUUACUAAAGUAUUUCUUUGAUUGCAUGCACUUUCGGUGAUCAGUUCAUCAAUAUCUGCACUAGAGUGGAUUAGAAAUUUCCUUCAAAAAUAUUUGAGAAAUUUAAAAAAAGUUAAUCAAUAAUUAGUCAAUGACUCAGUACACUGCCUGUUUGUGUGUCAUUCUGGGGAGGUGUCCAUGUCCUUGCCCAUACAGUGUAUACGCAUGGGGAAAUGAGCAAAUGUGCAUGCAUGCUGCGCUAAUAACACUAAUGAGCAUUGUGUUAAUUACCAGCAUUCGUACUUGGGCGUGAACAUGACAAAAUGUGGAGAAAACGGCAUCGACAGUAAAUCAUGGCCGUUAAAGACCCAUUUUUAGCUCUGUUCAAAUUAUGAAUGAUGAAUCAUACAAUGGUCUUUCUAUAUUUUUUGUCUUCGAAUUUGUAAAAUUGUAGUUCUUCUCUCUAAUCUUUAUACAUUGAAUAAGAUGUCCAUGUCGUAAGGCAUAAUGUUUUUUAAAGUGAUUUUAGAGUGAAUUGGGGGUGAAAAAUACUUUUGGAUGGACUUAUAGAAUGGUCUUUGAGUAAUCCUUGAGAUAGGUUGCUUCAGAUGAGGGAAUAUUCAGAUUAGAUUUUCACUCAAUAUAUUCUACAAAUUCAUUCUGAUUUACUCCUUAAGGAGUGAAUUCAUUCUAUUACUCCAAAAAAGUGAAUGCAAUCUUAUUAAUUUAAUGAAAAAGUGAAAAUAAGGAGUGUGAUUUAAUGCUGAUUCAAUCCUUAGUGUUUGAACUCACUCAUAUCCACUCCUGAACUUGAAGGGUUUAUUCAAUCUUAACUCCAGAAAGAAUUAAUUCCACCUUACUCUACUUUUCAAGAGAUGAAUCGUUCUGCAAAGAGUGAAUUUAAGCACUGUAUCAGUCCAUAAGUGUCAAAUCCCUCUUUGUGCUUGACAGUCAAUUCACUAUUUAUAGAUUGAAUUCACCUUUAUUCACUCCUAAACGAAUACAUUUUCAUUCAUCUGUUAUCAUUUUUAAAGAGAGAGGGUAUAUGCCUUUGAAUAUAUCUCAGGCCGGGUAAUUUCAUUCUUUCGUACUGUUCGAUCGUGCCUCACUCUUUCGUAUUUUCUUUUUUCGAUAAAAUCAAGUUUUAAAGAUUUAAUUGUACUUUCAUACCAAUUUUAUGACAUUGCAUAUUUGCAAUUAAAUGCAUCAGAUUUUAUUCCCUCUGUACACAUUGUGAACCAACUAUAUGUAUGAUUACUUAUGAAUAAAAAUGUGUUUUAGUGA
Molecule: long non-coding RNA, 6021 nt
Organism: Lytechinus pictus (painted urchin)
Lineage: Eukaryota; Metazoa; Echinodermata; Echinoidea; Temnopleuroida; Toxopneustidae
Exons: 2
Source: RefSeq, a predicted model, not a curated record